Molecule: regulatory RNA element, 47 nt
Organism: Daphnia magna
Lineage: Eukaryota; Metazoa; Arthropoda; Branchiopoda; Diplostraca; Daphniidae
Rfam family: Histone 3' UTR stem-loop
About the family: The mRNAs of metazoan histone genes lack a poly-A tail.
Source: Rfam
CAAACGGCCCUUUUCAGGGCCACCAAUCAGUUAAAGAACCAGGAAUU